GUUCCAGUUCCAGUUCCAGUUCCAAACAAGACCAUGGCCUCGCCUUUGACCUAAAAUUUCCCUAUUCAUUUACUAUGAUUUCAAUUCUAAUGUAAUCAAUCUAUACACAACUGAAAAAUUCAACAAUCACAUGAUUCACUGCACAUAGCUGAUCCCUCAACUGAGAAGAGUAAUAAGUCAAUAGUUCAACAGCCAAGACAAAAACCACUCCAACAGCUCCAGAAACCUAUUUUAUCAGGUUGAAUGGGUUGG
Molecule: unclassified non-coding RNA, 252 nt
Filed under: Hevea brasiliensis (rubber tree)
Lineage: Eukaryota; Viridiplantae; Streptophyta; Magnoliopsida; Malpighiales; Euphorbiaceae
Source: RNAcentral